UACAGAGGGUGCAAGCGUUGUUCGGAAUUAUUGGGCGUAAAGGGCGCGUAGGCGGUGCGGUAAGUCUGUAGUGAAAUCUCCGGGCUCAACUCGGAGCCUGCACGAGAAACUGCCGGGCUUGAGUGUGGGAGAGGUGAGUGGAAUUCCUGGUGUAGCGGUGAAAUGCGUAGAUAUCAGGAGGAACACCUGUGGCGAAAGCGGCUCACUGGACCAUAACUGACGCUGAUGCACGAAAGCUAGGGGAGCAAACAGG
This 253-nucleotide ribosomal RNA is filed under the name uncultured bacterium. Its description in RNAcentral is "partial 16S ribosomal RNA". It matches the Rfam family "Bacterial small subunit ribosomal RNA", at positions 524 to 776 of the family's 1533-position model. The record is from RNAcentral.